ACGUGCAUUCUUGGGUAAAUAAUAACAUUACAUGAAACUGUUAUUGCUUGAGAAUACACGUAG
Molecule: microRNA precursor, 63 nt
Filed under: Eisenia fetida (common brandling worm)
Lineage: Eukaryota; Metazoa; Annelida; Clitellata; Crassiclitellata; Lumbricidae
Description: Efe-Mir-137-P6_pre stem-loop
Source: RNAcentral